UACUACCUAAAAUGCUGGUAUCGGUAUCGGAAAGUACUGGAGUUUAUGCACCGAUCUGAUACCGAUACCACAUAAUUAAGCCCUGAAGAAAAUUGACUUUAAAGUAGUUUAUUUCUGUUCUUUUUCCGUUAUGACUGAAUGUCACAACUGGAG
Molecule: long non-coding RNA, 153 nt
Organism: Sander lucioperca (pikeperch)
Lineage: Eukaryota; Metazoa; Chordata; Actinopteri; Perciformes; Percidae
Exons: 3
Source: RefSeq, a predicted model, not a curated record